GGGGGAAUCUUUCCGGCAAUGGGGGGCGAAAGCCUGACGGAGCAACGCCGCGUGAGUGAUGACGGCCUUCGGGUUGUAAAGCUCUGUGAUCGGGGACGAACGGUCCGUAAGCUAAUAUCUUAUGGAAGUGACGGUACCCGAAUAGCAAGCCACGGCUAACUACGUGCCAGCAGCCGCGGUAAUACGUAGGUGGCAAGCGUUGUCCGGAAUUAUUGGGCGUAAAGCGCGCGCAGGCGGCUUUCUAAGUCCAUCUUAAAAGUGCGGGGCUUAACCCCGUGAUGGGAUGGAAACUGGAAAGCUGGAGUAUCGGAGAGGAAAGUGGAAUUCCUAGU
This 332-nucleotide ribosomal RNA is filed under the name uncultured Dialister sp. RNAcentral's name for it is "bacterial SSU rRNA". It matches the Rfam family "Bacterial small subunit ribosomal RNA", at positions 355 to 674 of the family's 1533-position model. Lineage: Bacteria; Bacillati; Bacillota; Negativicutes; Veillonellales; Veillonellaceae. The record is from RNAcentral.